RNAcentral lists this ribosomal RNA (663 nucleotides) under Trebouxia sp. 1 LM-2014. Its description in RNAcentral is "eukaryotic LSU rRNA". The stretch from base 204 to 357 matches the Rfam family "5.8S ribosomal RNA". Lineage: Eukaryota; Viridiplantae; Chlorophyta; Trebouxiophyceae; Trebouxiales; Trebouxiaceae. The record is from RNAcentral.
UUUUGGUGUCAGUUGACUUGAUUGGGCGGGUCCAAUAUCAGCCGGAUUCCCCUUGAGAGAGUUUGGGGAGGCCUGACGGUCUCACCCAAUGGCUUGGGGUUCUGCCGGCUGUGAGGGGUGGCGAUUAACUCACUUUAAGCAAUCAACUCUAAAGACAGCUCGAUUGGCUAGCAUUGCUGGCUGUAGACUGAACAAAUACAGACAACUCUCAACAACGGAUAUCUUGGCUCCCGUAACGAUGAAAAACGCAUCGAAAUGCGAUACGUAUUGUGAAUUGCAUAAUUCCGUGAACCAUCGAAUCUUUGAACGCAAAUUGCGCUCGAGGCUUCGGCCAAGAGCAUGUCUGCCUCAGCGUCGGCUACUACCCUCAACUAAGUUUCCUAUGAAAGACUAGGGAAUGCCAGUUGGAUAUGGCAGUCCGGUUUGCCUUUCAGGUUGCCGGUCAGCUGAAAUAUAUUCACGCUCUGGGGGCUGCUUUCCUUGAUAGGCUACUUUCAAGGGGAGGCGAGUUCCGAUUUGGUAGGUGACCUUUGCCGGUUACAUGCCUUCGUUGCUCGCUAAGCGUCCCAGUAGUCGUUGUGCAGGACGCCUUUUGGCUUUCGACCUGAGGUCAGGCAAGAACACCCGCUGAACUUAAGCAUAUCAAUAAGCGGAGGAAAAGAA